RNAcentral lists this ribosomal RNA (406 nucleotides) under uncultured bacterium. RNAcentral's name for it is "partial 16S ribosomal RNA". It matches the Rfam family "Bacterial small subunit ribosomal RNA", at positions 32 to 525 of the family's 1533-position model. The record is from RNAcentral.
AUUUAACGCUUUCUGCAGUCCUAACACAUGCAAGUCGUGCGAGCGUCGGACGGGUGAGUAAUGUAUGGGGAUCUGCCUGAUGGAUGGGGAUAACUACUGUAAACGGUACCUAAUACCGCCUACCAUCAGAUGUAUCCAUAUGGGAUUAGCUUGUUGGUGAGGUAACGGCUAACCUAGGCGACGAUUCCUAGCUGGUCUGAGAGGCUGAUCAGCCACACUGGGACUGAGACACGGCCCAGACUCCUACGGGAGGCAGCAGUGGGGAAUAUUGCACAAUGGGCGCAAGCCGGAUGCAGCCAAGCAGCGGUUAUGAAGAAGGCCUUCGGAUUGUAAAGUACUUUCAGUCGGGAGACGUUACCGACAGAAAAAGCACAGGCUAACUACGUGCCAGCAGCCGCGGUAAUUA